UACAGAGGUCUCAAGCGUUGUUCGGAUUCAUUGGGCGUAAAGGGUGCGUAGGCGGCGCGGUAAGUCGGGCGUGAAAUCUCGGAGCUUAACUCCGAAACUGCAUUCGAUACUGCCGUGCUUGAGGACUGGAGAGGAGACUGGAAUUUACGGUGUAGCGGUGAAAUGCGUAGAUAUCGUAAGGAAGACCAGUGGCGAAGGCGGGUCUCUGGACAGUUCCUGACGCUGAAGCACGAAGGCCAGGGGAGCAAACGGG
Molecule: ribosomal RNA, 253 nt
Filed under: uncultured bacterium
Lineage: Bacteria
Description: partial 16S ribosomal RNA
Rfam family: Bacterial small subunit ribosomal RNA
Source: RNAcentral